RNAcentral lists this transfer RNA (75 nucleotides) under Cricetulus griseus (Chinese hamster). It matches the Rfam family "tRNA". Rfam says of the family: Transfer RNA (tRNA) molecules are approximately 80 nucleotides in length. Lineage: Eukaryota; Metazoa; Chordata; Mammalia; Rodentia; Cricetidae. The record is from Rfam by way of RNAcentral.
GUGGAGAUGGCUCAGUGGACAAGAGCUCUUGCCUGGCAAACAAGAGGAUCUGAGUUAAAGUUCCCAGCACCCACA